CCCGAUCCCAUUCCGAACUCGGAAGUUAAGCCUUCUAACGCCGAUGAUACUGCCCCUCAAAGAGGUGGGAAAGUAGGAAGCCGCCAAGC
Molecule: ribosomal RNA, 89 nt
Filed under: Treponema sp.
Lineage: Bacteria; Pseudomonadati; Spirochaetota; Spirochaetia; Treponematales; Treponemataceae
Source: RNAcentral